Molecule: ribosomal RNA, 134 nt
Filed under: Enterococcus faecium
Lineage: Bacteria; Bacillati; Bacillota; Bacilli; Lactobacillales; Enterococcaceae
Also listed under: 1 other name
Description: partial 23S ribosomal RNA
Rfam family: Bacterial large subunit ribosomal RNA
Source: RNAcentral
CCCACCUCAAGAUGAGAUUUCCCAUUUCUUUAAGAAAGUAAGAUCCCUGAGAGAUGAUCAGGUAGAUAGGUCAGGAGUGGAAGUACAGUGAUGUAUGGAGCGGACUGAUACUAAUCGAUCGAGGACUUAACCAA